AGCAGCCGCGGUAAUUCCAGCUCCAAUAGCGUAUAUUAAAGUUGUUGCAGUUAAAAAGCUCGUAGUUGAAUUUCGGGAUCAAUAUGUUGGUCGUGCCUCGGUACGUACUAGCAUAUUGGUUUUCUCCUUUCUGAAGAACCAUGAUGUCAUUUAUUUGGUGUCGUGGGGAAUCAGGACUGUUACUUUGAAAAAAUUAGAAGUGUUAAAGCAGGCUCACGCUUGAAUACAUUAGCAUGGAAUAAUGAAAUAGGACGUUUGAUUCUAUUUUGUUGGUUUCUAGGAUCGACGUAAUGAUUAAUAGGGAUAGUUGGGGGCAUUAGUAUUCAAUUGUCAGAGGUGAAAUUCUUGGAUUUAUUGAAGACUAACUACUGCGAAAGCAUUUGCCAAGGAUGUUUUCAUUAAUCAAGAACGAAAGUUAGGGGAUCGAAGACGACCAGAUACCGUCGUAGUCUUAACCAUAAACUAUGCCGACUAAGGAUCGGAUGAUGUUAAUUUUUUUCAAUGACUCAUUCGGCGCCUU
This 520-nucleotide unclassified non-coding RNA is filed under the name uncultured Glomus. RNAcentral describes it as "SSU rRNA". It matches the Rfam family "Eukaryotic small subunit ribosomal RNA", at positions 569 to 1089 of the family's 1831-position model. Lineage: Eukaryota; Fungi; Glomeromycota; Glomeromycetes; Glomerales; Glomeraceae. The record is from RNAcentral.